UACAACUUCGGUAGUACAAAUCCUAAAACAGGAACGAUACAGAAAAGAGUAGCAUGCCCCUGCGCAAGGACGAUAUGCAAAAUCGUCAAGUGUUCGUUAUUAUU
Molecule: small nuclear RNA, 104 nt
Filed under: Centruroides sculpturatus (bark scorpion)
Lineage: Eukaryota; Metazoa; Arthropoda; Arachnida; Scorpiones; Buthidae
Source: RNAcentral